Molecule: ribosomal RNA, 479 nt
Filed under: uncultured bacterium
Lineage: Bacteria
Description: bacterial SSU rRNA
Rfam family: Bacterial small subunit ribosomal RNA
Source: RNAcentral
GACGAACGCUGGCGGCGUGCCUAACACAUGCAAGUCGAACGAGGUCCAUCCUUCGGGAGAAGACCUAGUGGCGAACGGGUGAGUAACACGUGAGGAACCUGCCCCGAAGACCGGGAUAACCCUCCGAAAGGAGAGCUAAUACCGGAUACCCCCACCGAACCGCAUGGUUUGGUGAGGAAAUGGAUUCCGCUUCGGGAGGGCCUCGCGGCCUAUCAGCUAGUUGGUGGGGUAACGGCCCACCAAGGCAUCGACGGGUAGCUGGUCUGAGAGGACGAUCAGCCACACUGGGACUGAGACACGGCCCAGACUCCUACGGGAGGCAGCAGUGGGGAAUCUUGCGCAAUGGGCGAAAGCCUGACGCAGCAACGCCGCGUGGGGGAUGAAGGCUCUCGGGUUGUAAACCCCUUUCAGCAGGGACGAAUCAAGACGGUACCUGCAGAAGAAGCCCCGGCUAACUACGUGCCAGCAGCCGCGGUAAU